GCACGUCGUGCGGUGUGAGGCAGUACACGCGCGCCGAAGAACGUCAUCCGGCGGUGGAAUCGCGGGUUCGAAUCCCGCCGCGACGUGCA
RNAcentral lists this transfer RNA (89 nucleotides) under Streptomyces sp. H27-H1. RNAcentral describes it as "tRNA-Phe". The record is from RNAcentral. Lineage: Bacteria; Bacillati; Actinomycetota; Actinomycetes; Kitasatosporales; Streptomycetaceae.